UUUAGUUCUAAUGACAAUGGCGGAAUUAUCGGAUGCGAACGAGCGUCGUUCUGCAUUCGUUCGCGUUUUUUCUCGUCCGAAGUGAAUUUCAUACGCAAACAAAUAUCAGAAGUAUUGAAUCUAGCGAUGAGCCUUCGUCGUGGAGUGUUAAUUAACGCGUACGGUUGUGAUUAUUAGUCUUUCGACAUCCUUAAUACGCCUAUUCCAUCUUGUCGAAUAUUGCAAAUCAUCAAGCUUCGGUACGAAGUUGUCUCAUCUUUCAAAUUUCUUAAACAUUUUAUCGUGAGUAUAGUAGGACAUCUAUCGUGUUUAGUUCUAAUGACAAUGGCGGAAUUGUCGGAUGCGAACGAGCGUCGUUCUGCAUUCGUUCGCGUUUUUUCUCGUCCGAAGUGAAUUUCAUACGCAAACAAAUAUCAGAAGUAUUGAAUCUAGCGAUGAGUCUUCGUCGUGGAAUGUUAAUUAACGUAUACGGUUGUGAUUAGUAGCUGUUCACGGGAUUCGUGAAACAAAUUCGUUGCAUCGCGUCGAAUAUUGCAAAUCGUCAAGCAUCGGUGCGAAGUUGUCUCUCUUCUCUGAACUUUUUCCGCUUUUCGGAAUUGUCUCGUCGAGCUUAUAGAUGGCCGUCAUGUAGGUGUAAUCAGUACGUAUGAUUGAAACCUAACCCUAAUUUCUAAAAUUUUCGUAAAGUCAAUGACAUCGUGUUAUUUGCUAUAUAUUUGAGUAUCGAUGCAAAGUUGUCCUGUAUUCGUAUCAUUCGUAUGAAUCCCGUCGGAAUGUCGUACCAAGUUACAAGCAAUCAUCGUGUUUCGCGUUAUUUAUUUGUUCGAAAGUGCAUUGCUUGCGAUAACCAAAUCAAGGCAUGUAAUGAUAAUUAACUCUUCGGAUGAUUUUCGCGUUCGGUAAUUUGAUUCGUGGUAUUGCUUUAUUAUUGUGGAGAUUGUUUCGCAAUCGCUGUGUUUUGCGUUGAAAGUAUGUCACGUUAAACUCGGGAGUGCCGCAUGUGAAUUGAUCGGUCGUAUCGUACAGUGAUAAUUAGUGCUACGUAAAUGUGUGCGUGUGUGUGUGUGAAGCGAUGACGCUGAUUAACAACGAAAUUGCAACGGCAAGACAUGAAUUGAUUAUUUAAUGACGGAUAUACAGUUUGCGCAUGCAGAGACAACGAAAUCUGCCUCGAAAUUGUCACGUUUUUGCGGAUCGAGGUUCGAUGAGAUAUGUUUGGAGUAAUGGCAGGGUCAACGGAUUGCAUCGGCCGUUACCGAAAUGCUUUUGUUUGGUAAUCGGCAUGAUUAACAAUUCGAUGGGGCUGAUGGAAAGCGGUCUGAAACGGGAUUUACAGCGGAUGAAAUAAACUGCAGCAUUAGUUCUGUGGGGCAAUGUUGCGCGGCGAAGUUAACGAUCAAUGCAAAUAAACAACAUUUCAAAAAUCGACGAAUAUCCGAACAAUUCAUCAAGAAAUCUCCGUCGAUCAAGAUAUUCUAGAAUUAAUUUUACAAUUUAAGAGCUAGUCGAUUAAUCUACCGAUUAAUCGGUGCGAUAAGAUUUAUCGCGUGAUCACAGUUAAUGUAGAACGAUUGUUAGCUUCGAAUGCGCCAAUCUGAAAUCUCGAAAAUUUCGAGAUAAAUAAACGUAUGAGUGAACACGCCCCACCCAGGAAUCGUUCCGGCCUCAUCCUGCGCUCCUGUGUUGCUCCGUUCUCCUUUCUGCUUCCUCGGACAUUAAUUUCGUACAGCGUGUUGCAGGUGCGCCGUCAGGUAAGUACGUGCGAUAUUAUUGGCCAAUGUCGGGCAGACGCGAAACCCGAACUGUUGCGACUCGGCACGAUCCCCAUUAACCGUCCCAUAAACAGAUAAUCGUGAAUUUCCCGCCGAUACCGUCCGCCCAAUCAGAUAAGACGGUACGUGGAGAUACGAAAUUAUUGUCCUCGCAUUUCUCGGCUCGUUCGAGCCGAGGUUCUCUGGUGUAAGUGUUAAUUAAGGACAGAUCGCGAUUGGAUUGGCGAGACGUCUAUAUUCGCGACAUUACAUAUGCGUUUUAACUGAUAAACGAUUGAUCUUGGAGAAAUUUAGUUUCCAAUCGAUAUAUCGUUUAUUAUAUCCCAAGGUUAGAAUAUUAUUGGCUUAAACGAAGCGUAAUUUUCAAGUGUAAAAAUAAGAAUCCGGACAAAACAUGGG
Linepithema humile (Argentine ant) is the source of this 2171-nucleotide non-coding RNA. The record is from RefSeq and is a predicted model, not a curated record. Lineage: Eukaryota; Metazoa; Arthropoda; Insecta; Hymenoptera; Formicidae.